Molecule: ribosomal RNA, 405 nt
Filed under: uncultured Lactobacillus sp.
Lineage: Bacteria; Bacillati; Bacillota; Bacilli; Lactobacillales; Lactobacillaceae
Description: bacterial SSU rRNA
Rfam family: Bacterial small subunit ribosomal RNA
Source: RNAcentral
AGGUCUUGACAUCCUUUGACCACUGUAGAGAUACAGCUUUCCCUUCGGGGACAAAGUGACAGGUGGUGCAUGGUUGUCGUCAGCUCGUGUCGUGAGAUGUUGGGUUAAGUCCCGCAACGAGCGCAACCCUUAUGACUAGUUGCCAGCAUUUAGUUGGGCACUCUAGUAAGACUGCCGGUGACAAACCGGAGGAAGGUGGGGAUGACGUCAAAUCAGCAUGCCCCUUAUGACCUGGGCUACACACGUGCUACAAUGGUCGGUACAACGAGUUGCGAACCCGCGAGGGUAAGCUAAUCUCUUAAAGCCGAUCUCAGUUCGGAUUGUAGGCUGCAACUCGCCUACAUGAAGCCGGAAUCGCUAGUAAUCGCGGAUCAGCACGCCGCGGUGAAUACGUUCCCGGGCCUU